UGAUGUCAACGUUGUGAACAGAGGUCCCCAUGGUGACGGAGGGGUUAUGGUAUGGUGUUUGCUGAUGUAAACGUUGUGAACAGAGGUCCCCAUGGUGACGGUGGGGUUAUGGUAUGGUGUUUGCUGAUGUCAACGUUGUGAACAGAGGUCCCCAUGGUGACGGAGGGGUUAUGGUAUGGUGUUUGCUGAUGUCAACGUUGUGAACAGAGGUCCCCAUGGUGACGGAGGGGUUAUGGUAUGGUGUUUGCUGAUGUCAACGUUGUGAACAGAGUGGCCCAUGGUGGUGGAGGGGUUAUGGUAUGGUGUUUGCUGAUGUCAACGUUGUGAACAGAGGUCCCCAUGGUGGUGGAGGGGUUAUGGUAUGGUGUUUGCUGAUGUCAACGUUGUGAACAGAGUGGCUCAUGGUGGUGGAGGGGUUAUGGUAUGGUGUUUGCUGAUGUCAACGUUGUGAACAGAGGUCCCCAUGGUGACGGUGGGGUUAUGGUAUGGUGUUUGCUGAUGUAAACGUUGUGAACAGAGGUCCCCAUGGUGACGGAGGGGUUAUGGUAUGGUGUUUGCUGAUGUCAACGUUGUGAACAGAGUGGCUCAUGGUGGUGGAGGGGUUAUGGUAUGGUGUUUACUGAUGUCAACGUUGUGAACAGAGGUCCCCAUGGUGACGGAGGGGUUAUGGUAUGGUGUUUGCUGAUGUCAACGUUGUGAACAGAGUGGCUCAUGGUGGUGGAGGGGUUAUGGUAUGGUGUUUACUGAUGUCAACGUUGUGAACAGAGGUCCCCAUGGUGACGGAGGGGUUAUGGUAUGGUGUUUACUGAUGUCAACGUUGUGAACAGAGGUCCCCAUGGUGACGGAGGGGUUAUGGUAUGGUGUUUGCUGAUGUCAACGUUGUGAACAGAGGUCCCCAUGGUGACGGAGGGGUUAUGGUAUGGUGUUUACUGAUGUAAACGUUGUGAACAGAGGUCCCCAUGGUGACGGUGGGGUUAUGGUAUGGUGUUUACUGAUGUAAACGUUGUGAACAGAGUGGCUCAUGGUGGUGGAGGGGUUAUGGUAUGGUGUUUGCUGAUGUCAACGUUGUGAACAGAGGUCCCCAUGGUGACGGAGGGGUUAUGGUAUGGUGUUUACUGAUGUCAACGUUGUGAACAGAGGUCCCCAUGGUGGUGGAGGGGUUAUGGUAUGGUGUUUGCUGAUGUCAACGUUGUGAACAGAGGUCCCCAUGGUGACGGAGGGGUUAUGGUAUGGUGUUUGCUGAUGUCAACGUUGUGAACAGAGGUCCCCAUGGUGACGGAGGGGUUAUGGUAUGGUGUUUACUGAUGUCAACGUUGUGAACAGAGGUCCCCAUGGUGACGGAGGGGUUAUGGUAUGGUGUUUACUGAUGUCAACGUUGUGAACAGAGGUCCCCAUGGUGACGGAGGGGUUAUGGUAUGGUGUUUGCUGAUGUCAACGUUGUGAACAGAGGUCCCCAUGG
Molecule: long non-coding RNA, 1459 nt
Organism: Oncorhynchus keta (chum salmon)
Lineage: Eukaryota; Metazoa; Chordata; Actinopteri; Salmoniformes; Salmonidae
Exons: 6
Source: RefSeq, a predicted model, not a curated record